UACAGAGGUCUCAAGCGUUGUUCGGAUUCAUUGGGCGUAAAGGGUGCGUAGGCGGCCCGGUAAGUCCGCUGUGAAAGUCGGGGGCUCAACCCUCGAAUGCCGGUGGAUACUGUCGGGCUAGAGUGCGGAAGAGGCGAGUGGAAUUCCUGGUGUAGCGGUGAAAUGCGCAGAUAUCAGGAGGAACACCAAUUGCGAAGGCAGCUCGCUGGGACGUAACUGACGCUGAGACGCGAAAGCGUGGGGAGCAAACAGG
This 253-nucleotide ribosomal RNA is filed under the name uncultured bacterium. RNAcentral describes it as "partial 16S ribosomal RNA". It matches the Rfam family "Bacterial small subunit ribosomal RNA", at positions 524 to 776 of the family's 1533-position model. The record is from RNAcentral.